UUAAAACUUUUAACAACGAUCUCUUGGUUCUCAUCGAUGAAGAACGCACGAAAUCAUAAGUAAUGAAUCAGAAUUCAGUAAUCAUCGAAUCUUUGAACGCACAUUCCCGCCAGCAUUCUGGCGCAUGCCUGUUCGAGCGUCAUUUCAACCCUCAAGCCCAGCUUGUGUUGGCCCUACGGUCGACGUAGCCCUUAAAGGAGUGCGACCUCCCGAGCCUCCUUUGCUAGUAACUUAACGUCUCGCACUGGAUCCGGAGGACUCUUCUAAAACCCCCAAACUUUACAGUUGACCUCGAUCAGUAGGAAUACCGCUGAACUAAGCAUAUCAAUAAGCGGAGAAAAAAACCAACAGGAUUCCCCAUAACGCGAUGAAGCGGCAACAGCUCAAAUUUGAAUCUGCCCAGGCCCGAGUUAAUUUGCAGAGAUGCUUUUGCGCGGCCUUCGAGUUCCCUGGAACGGACGCCAUAGGUGAGCCCUACGUGACACCAAGCCUUUGUAAAGCUCUUCGACGAGUCGAGUAGUUGAAUGCUCCAAAAGGGAGUAUAUUUCUUCUAAGCUAAAUAUAGCCAGAACCGAUACGCACAAGUUAGAUGAUCGAAAGAUAAAGCACUUUGAAAAGAGUUAAAGCACAGUGAAAUGUAAAAGGAAGCGCUUGUGACCAGACUUGCGUCCGGUGAAUCACCCAGCUCUCCGGCGGGCACUUCGCCGGCAAGCCAGCAUCAGCUUGCCGUCGGACAAAAGCUUCAGAACGUAGCUCUCUUCGGGAGUUUAGCCUUUGCAUAAUACCCUUCCGCUGAGUACGGCUCCGCAAGAUGCUGCUAAUGGUCAUCAGCACCCGUCUUGAAACACGACCAAAGUCAACCUUAUGUGCGAGUGUGGGUUAAACCCCUACGCGUAAGAAAUGAACGCAGGUGAGAGCUCGGCGCAUCAUCGACGAUCCUGAUGUUCUCGGAUGGAUUUGAUAAAGCAUAUAGGUUGACCCAAAAUAGAACUAUCGUGUGUAGGUGAAGCCAGAGAAACUCGUGGAGGCUCGCCACGGUUCUGACGUGCAAAUCGAUCGUCAAACAUGCGCAGGGCGAAGACUAAUCGAACCUUCUAGUAGCUGUUUCCCCGAAGUUCCCUCAGAUACAGUUGAACUCAUUUUAUGAGUUAAAGCGAAUGAUUAGGACUCGGGGCGCUAUAUUCCUUCAUCCAUUCUCAAACUUUAAAUAUAAGAAGCCCUUGUUGCUUAAUUGAACGCAUUAAUGUAUCAACACUAUGGGCCAUUUUGUAAGCAAACUGGCGAUCGGAUGAACGAACGCGAGUUAAGGCCAGAGUAGUCGCUCAUCAGACACCACAAAAGUUGAGUACAUCUUGACAGCAGGACGGUGCCAUGAGAUCGGAAUCCCUAAGACUGUGUAACAACUCACCUGCCGAAUUACUAGCCCUAAAAUGGAUGCGCUCAAGCACUCACCCAUACCUCCCCUCAUGUAGAAACGAUGCGCUGAGGAGUAGGCGGACUGGAGUCAUGACAAGCCUUAGGCUGAGCCGGUAGAACCCCUAGCAAUCUUGUGUAGUAGCAAAUACUCAAUGAGAACUUAAGACCAAGGGAAAGGUUCCAUGUGAACAGCGUUGGACAUGGUUAGUCAUCCUAACCAUAAGUUCCUUUCAAAGGCACUUGUGCCCCGUAUGCGAAAGGAACCGUCAAUAUUCCGCACCUGAUGUGGGUUUUGCCGGCAACGCAACUGAACGCGAGACGAGCGGCCCCGGCAGUUCUCUUUUCUCUUAACAGUCUAUCACCCUGAAAUCGGUUUGUCCGACUAGGGUUUAACCUGGAAGCCCAGCACUUCUGUUGCGUGCGCCUCGACGUCCCUUGAAAAUCCCGGAAGAUAAUUUCACGCCAGUCUACUCAUAACCGCAGCAGGUCUCCAAGGAACACCUCUGGUUGAUAAACAAUGUAAUAAGGAAGUCGCAAACAAUCCAACUUCGGAUAAGGAUUGCUCUAAUGGGUACUUGCUUUAGGCGGACCUCGGAGCAGUCCCACUAGCCGGCAACCGCCGAGGCCCAGCAUCUGGUUGACGCUUUAGCAGCUUCGGCCGUCCGGCGUACGUUAACAACCAACUUAAACUGACACAAGGGAAUCUGACUGUCUAAUUAAAACUAGCAUUGCGAUGGCCAGAAAGUGGUGUGACGCAAUGUAUUUCUGCCCAGUGCUCUGAAUGUCAAAUGAAGUAAUUCAACCAAGCGCGGGAAACCGGCGAGUAACUAUGACUCUCUUAAGUAGCCAAAUGCCUCGUCAUCUAAUUAGUGACGCGAUGAAUGGAUCAACGAGAUCCCACUGUCCCUAUCUACUAUCUAGCGAAACCACAGCCAAGGAACGGGCUUGGCAGAAUCAGCGGAAAGAAGACCCUUGAGCUGACUCUAGUUACAUUGUGAAAAACAUAGAGUGUAAAUAGUGGAGCUUCGGCCCGGUAAAUACCACUACUCCUAUUGUUUUUUUACUUAUUCAAUGAAGCGGCUGGAUUUACGUCCAACUUCUGGUUUUAAGGUCCUUCGCGGCCGACCCGGGUUGAAGACAUUUCAGUGGGAGUUUGGCUGGGGGCACAUCUGUUAAACCAUAACGCAGGUGUCCUAAGGGGCUCAUGGAGAACAGAAAUCUCCAGUAGAACAAAAGGGUAAAAGUCCCUUGAUUUUAUUUCAGUGUAAUACAAACCAUGAAAGUGUGCCUAUCGAUCCUUUAGUCCCUCGAAAUUUGAGGCUAGAGUGCCAAAAAUUACCACAGGAUAACGGCUUGUGGCGGCCAAGCGUUCAUAGCGACGUCGCUUUUGAUCCUUCGAUGUCGGCUCUUCCUAUCAUACCGAAGCAGAAUUCGGUAAGCGUUGGAUUGUUCACCCACUAAUAGGAACGUGAGCUGGGUUUAGACCGUCGUGAGACAGGUUAGUUUACCCUACUGAUGACCUCGUCGCAAUGGUAAUGAGCUUAGUACGAGAGGAACCGCUCAUUCAAUAAUUGGUUUUUCGGCUGUCCGACCGGGCAGUGCCGCGACGCUACCAUCUGCUGGAUAAUGGCUGAACGCCUCUAAGUCAGAAUCCAUGCCAGAACGCGACGAUACCUCCCGCACGUACAGAGGACACGAAUAGGCUUCGGCUUAGUCUUAGCAGGCGAUUACUCCACUGCUCUCGAAGCGAGUAGUGGUAUUCGCGAAUUGUAAUUUCAGCACGACGGGUUAAAUCCUUUGCAGACGACUUAGAUGUGCGAAAGGUCCUGUAAGCAGUAGAGUAGCCUUGUUGUUACGAUCUGCUGAGGGUAACCCUCCUU
Molecule: ribosomal RNA, 3296 nt
Filed under: Colletotrichum higginsianum
Lineage: Eukaryota; Fungi; Ascomycota; Sordariomycetes; Glomerellales; Glomerellaceae
Description: 28S ribosomal RNA
Rfam family: Eukaryotic large subunit ribosomal RNA
Source: RNAcentral